This 92-nucleotide non-coding RNA is filed under the name Streptomonospora alba. RNAcentral describes it as "Glycine sequence". It matches the Rfam family "Glycine riboswitch aptamer". Rfam says of the family: This family represents the bacterial glycine riboswitch. The record is from Rfam by way of RNAcentral. Lineage: Bacteria; Bacillati; Actinomycetota; Actinomycetes; Streptosporangiales; Nocardiopsidaceae.
CGAUACCACGCGGGAGAGACCCCCAUCAGCGGGGCGCCGACGGGGCAACACUCCCCAGUAACCUCUCAGGCACCAAGGACCGCGUGGAGGAG